Molecule: transfer RNA, 74 nt
Filed under: Actinomadura sp. KC216
Lineage: Bacteria; Bacillati; Actinomycetota; Actinomycetes; Streptosporangiales; Thermomonosporaceae
Description: tRNA-Ala
Rfam family: tRNA
About the family: Transfer RNA (tRNA) molecules are approximately 80 nucleotides in length.
Source: RNAcentral
GGGGCCUUAGCUCAGAUGGUUAGAGCGCUGGUCUUGCAAACCAGAGGCCGAGAGUUCGAAUCUCUCAGGCUCCA